RNAcentral lists this transfer RNA (71 nucleotides) under Camelus bactrianus (Bactrian camel). It matches the Rfam family "tRNA". Rfam says of the family: Transfer RNA (tRNA) molecules are approximately 80 nucleotides in length. Their secondary structure includes four short double-helical elements and three loops (D, anti-codon, and T loops). Further hydrogen bonds mediate the characteristic L-shaped molecular structure. tRNAs have two regions of fundamental functional importance: the anti-codon, which is responsible for specific mRNA codon recognition, and the 3' end, to which the tRNAs corresponding amino acid is attached (by aminoacyl-tRNA synthetases). tRNAs cope with the degeneracy of the genetic code in two manners: having more than one tRNA (with a specific anti-codon) for a particular amino acid; and 'wobble' base-pairing, i.e. permitting non-standard base-pairing at the 3rd anti-codon position. Lineage: Eukaryota; Metazoa; Chordata; Mammalia; Artiodactyla; Camelidae. RNAcentral also lists the same sequence under 2 other names. The record is from Rfam by way of RNAcentral.
GAGGGUAUAGCUCAGUGGUAGAGCACGGGCUAGCAUGCAAGAGGUCCUGGGUUCAAUCCCCAGUAUCUCCA